UUUUUGAAAGUCAUCAAUCUUUUUUUUUUUUUCCUUUCUUUCUGGUAGUGAGGUAGCAAAGAACCUUUAGUAAGAAUCAAAGCCUACAUAAACACUGAAAACAAAACUCAGUUAAGUAAAAUAUUAAAAACUGUAUUCAAUUCCUUAAAAUGUUAUUUCUCAUUUUAUAAAUCAUUCUGUAUAAUUUGUUUCUUUGCAAUGAAAAUAAAGCAACCUUGAAACAACAUACUACAAUACAGUUUGGCCCUAGAACUACACAGGGAUCCGGGUCCAGACCCUUGAGCAGGAAACCUUAGCGUCAGCUCUCCGUAUAUGCAGUACCUCCAUAUCCAGGGUUCUGCACCCAGGGAUUCAACCAACGGCAGAUCGUGUGGUACUUAGUGUUUACUAUUAAAAAAUCCACAUAUAAGUGAACCGUGCAAUUCAAAUUCAUGUUGUUCAAGGCACUCUCAUAUACUCUGGAGAAGGAAAACCAGAAUCACUUUUGAGAUAAGCUGAAAAUGAUCAGAGGAGAAAGAAGUUACUGGUGAAUAUUAGUGACACUCUUCCACUUAUCUAAUGAAAUAAUGUUUAGAGUCACAAAAGAAAGAAUCCAAAUCAGUCUCCCAGAAUUCAUUCACGGGAGUAAAUUCCUAUUAGGCCUAACCUAAGAAAAAAAUAGCAGUUUCAAUAGGUUUUUUAAAAAGCUAAAAAAAAUAAAUAAAUAAAAAGAGUAUGUAAUAUUAUUUGGCUACAGAUUUCGUGAAAUUAUCUUAUUUACAACCAAUAUGAGUAAACAUAGAUUUUUUAGUUACCUCAAAUAUCAUAAAUAUACAAGAUCUUUUUCAGCAGUUACGUAUUUUACUCAUGAAUCCUUAACUAAAGCUGAGCCUACCUGGUAGCUUACAGAUGUCAUCAAAGAGAACAAAUUUAUAUUCUACCAAACAGAAAGCUUAACCUAGAAAUGAAACUCACAGUAAACAUCUGAAAAAGCCUAGUAAGAGCUUCUAUUCUUCAAAUGAAUAGACCCCUUCAUAUAGAGAUAUACACCUACUGUGUAAUGAGAAAGAAUAAUAAAAUUUUAAAUUCUGACUUUGAAGCCAAAUUUUGCACAUAAAGGGAAGAAAAACUAACACUUUUUCAAUAAUUCAUCAAAUUGUCACUGAACACCCACUCUUUCAAGCACCCUAACAGGCCCAAGAUACAAGACUGAAUAAGAUACACAGGUCCCAUGCUCUCACUGGGGAGACAGAGGGUGACCAAGCAGCCCCUGGUGGGCUGCUGUCCAGGAAUUCAGAUCUACAGGAGACACCAAAGCACCACUGGAAUACACUGGCCACGUAUGGCUGAAGUCAGCUCGUUACAGAGCCGAACAGUAGAGAGAUUUUUAUCAGGAUUAAUAAUUAUUACCAUCUAAAUUUUAAAUACCCUCUAGGAAGUUGUGCAGUUUAGAAAAAUCACGGAUUAAAACUACCAAAACUGGGAGUUUCCUGGUGGUCUAGUGGUUGGGACCCAGCCCUUUCACCACUGCAGCUCAGGUACAAUCCCUAGGCUGAGAACUGAGAUUCUACCCCAAACCACUAUGUGCUGCAACCAAAACAAAACAAAACAAAGUCCAAAACCUGGGAAAUGUUUUCUCCGGUUCUUGUAUGUAUGUAUGUAUGUAUGUACGUAUGUGUGUGUGUCUUUUUAGGGCUGCACCCGUGGCAUAUGGAGGUUCCCAAGCCUGGGAAACUCCAUAGGCCUCGGCAGCGGCCCGGGAAAUAGCAAAAAGACAAAAAGACAAAAAAAAAAAAAAAAAAAAAAAAAAAGAUAGGAAAACCGUGAACUCUAAGAAUUCUGACUAAAACAGAAUUAGAAAAGAACUUUUCGUAUGCCUUCUACACUUCUCAAUGGUCAGAAGACAAAAAUCACUUUAAUGCUAAACACAUCUUUAAGUGUUAAACUUCUCAGUUCAAAAUUACUGUAAAGCACCAUAAAAACUUGUCUUUAUGUGCUUUAUAUCUGUACAGUUGAUAAUAUUAGGUAAUUAUUGCUAAUUUUGAAGCUGUGGUGAUAACUGUGAUUGUUUUAAAAGAGUCAAGAUCAGGAGUUCCCAUUGUGGCUCAGCAGUAACAAACCCAACCAGUAUUAAUGAGGAUGCGGGUUCAAUCCCUGCCCUUGCUCAGUGGGUUACAGAUCCUAUGUUGCUGUGGCUGUGGUGUGGGCCUGCAGCGGCAGCUACAAUUUGACCCUUAGCCUGGGAACUUCAAUGUGCUGUAGGUGAGGCCCUAAAAAGAAAAAAAUAAUAAUAAUAAAAAAAAAUAAAAAGCCAGAGUGGUCCAGAUAUAACAUGCUAAAAAGAAGCCUAUUUUAUUCUUUGGAAAAACCCUAAGAUUUAAUAAGCUUUCUUAUGAGUGAAUGUGUAAGCCUACACAUAGUUAAAUUUGCUCUUUAAGACCUCCCAAAUCAGAACAUUUCAAAGCGAAUCAUCAACAGUAUACACAGACACACAUUUACAUGUAUCACACACAGAACAAGUCAGGAGGGUAGAGAGCACAACAUUAACAGCAUUUACACUAAGUAACAGAAUUCUAUCAAUGGUAAUUUUUUAAAAAUGCUUUACAAGUUUUUCAAUAAACCUAUUGCUUUUCUAAUCAGUUACAAAAUUUGAACAAAACAAUAACAAGCAAAACAAUGAAGUUUAGAUUUUUAAAAGUAAAUGCAUAAAAUAAAGAGGUUACAGCCAAGAAAGGGCAAAUGAGACAAGCCAGAUGAACACCUGCCCUUAGAAAACACUGGUCAAGGACAUGGAGACGCCAAAGAAAAGUAUAAGCGUCCUUCAUCUUAUUGUGGAAGAGAAGUCAAACUUCACUUUCUGCUGAGUGGCGAUCCCAUUUACCUACUUGACAUGCACAAUCACGACUACCUUUUCCUCUAAACAGUUUAUUUUUUAAAAUAUUAUAUGCUAAGACUGACAAAACAAGGAUGGCUGCAUUAGGGAAUUUAGGCUUUAGCUAAAAUUAAUACUAUGUGACCAUGUAAGUACUGACCACGUUUUCAAGUGACUGCUCCUGCCUUUGUACUACCUGCUGUGCCUGUUCUGGGACGUCUCCCUUCGUACUUCCCAUUAUCUUUGGUGCAUUUCUCAGGUAACUAGAAGUUAAUAAGUUACUCAAGUCAUUUAGGAAACAGGAAAAAGGUUUUACAAUCUCAGGGUAGAUUGUCCUUCCUUUCAUCCAACUAAGAAGGCCACCUGAACUAUUCCAAGAAGACUGCGGCUCUAUAGCCAGUGGUUCUACUUGAGAAAUGAAACUUCAGAUAUGACUCAUGUGUUGGCAUAAUUUGAAAAUAAAAAUACAAUAAUAAGUUUAAAACUGCACUAUAAACAACCUAAGAGUGAACCCAUCUCUACCUCAGAAUAAAGAUAUUUAGGGAAAAUGCUCCCCCUACCCAUUUUUCAUUCUUCUUGGCUGCCUGUCCUAAGUCCCAAAGGAGCAAGGCAGACAGCACUCUGGGAAAUCAAAGAGCCAUUUGCUUGCCUCCCAUGCUGGCUGGGAGUCUGACAGCACCUCGGAGAGGCAAAAUGUCUCAGUUUGGUAGUAAAACUGCCUUUCUCUGGGUAAGAAGAAUUUAACAAGAAAUAGCUCAAGAUAUAUUACUAAAGUAAACCCUGAAUCACUUUUUUUUUAAUUCAUCACUACUUUUCAGUUUGUGUUCAUAUUUACCUUUUAUCAACACUUUCUAUCCAUCAAAACGUUUUACUUUGCUAUUAUAUAUAAUCUGAACAAGCAUGAAUAAUACCUGCUUUUUGCUCUGAAAUGGAUCCUUUUUAUCCACACUGAUGAAUUUCUGUUAACCUAGUAGUAGGGUUGCUGGUUCAGCAGCAACCAUUCAGAGAAAAAAAAAAAAAGUGGACAUGCUGAAUUCUUCUUUGCCUAGCACUUCAAGACAGAAAAAAACUCCGUAAACUAUAACAAAAACACUGUUGUGAUCACACUGAGAUAUCUGACAAGUCAUGAUCUGCACCUCCUUGACCAAAUUCCACAAUAGAGACUGUAACUGAGCCUGACCCAGUCUGCUUGCCAUCGCCGCCUCUGCCCAUCACUACUCCUCCUUGGGUUUCUUCUUGCAUGGCUUUCAAGAGAGUCACACUUAAAAAAAAAGAAAGAAAGAAAAUUUCCCAUAGCUUUGUUCCUUUUCUCAUUUUUAAAAUUCUCUUAUCUCUAAAUAGACGCACUAUACUUUUGGGCUGUCCCUUGUCUCUUGGUGAAUUCAUGUAAUCUCAUAUUGCUAUUCUUUGUCUUUAAUUUAAUGCCCACGCUAAUUUAUACUUUCGGUCCUCUCUUCUUUCCUGAGAGCUAAGUCCACAUUCUUACCAGGGUUAAGGAGAAGACAAAGACGACUCCCAGGUAUUUAUAUACCAUUUUGCUUUCUUUUAAAAGAAUUCCAUUAGCUUGACUGCAUGUCUUUCUAUGGCAUGUAGUUAAAUCCAAAAGUUAAAAGAAAGGCUUAUGACAGCAUAUAUAAUGACAGGAGCAAAAAAUGAAUGUGGACACUGAGAACCACAAUCAUAGAAAGUAAAACUAAAAACUUAGCAGUUUAGGACCUUUUGAAAUACAAGCAUUAAAAAAAAAAAAAAGAUUUCUUUAGUGCAGUGAGAAUUAAUUAUAUAAACUAUAUAACCGCACUUUCAUAACCCUUAGACACACAUAACUAUUUAUAUUUCAAUUAAACAAAAUUUUAAAUUUCAUUCUUCAGCCACAAAAGCCCCUUUGCAGGUGCUCAAGAGCCACAUGUAGCUAGUGGCUACCUCACUGGACAGCACAGAUAAAAGAAUAUUUCGAUUACUGCAGAAAGCUCUACUGGACAAAGCUGCAGUGCCGAUUCCACAGUCACUGAGCAUUUUCUAUAUCAUAGGCACAGAGCUAGGAAGAGGGGCAAAGAAAGAUGAGUCGGGUAAGGCCUCUCUCUGCCCUCAAAGAGCACAGAGUUUGUCUAGCGGAUGAAAUAGAAAAUAUUUACAAGGGCUAGAGCAGAGGUAAUGACAUUUACGGGAGAGUAAACUGAUUAAGAGCCAGUUCUGUAUUCCAGACCAAUCAGCUAGGAUCCCAUCCCUUUCCCCGAGCUUGUCUGUGGACCAGGCCUUCAUCUGGUGUUAUGAUGAUGCAGCCAGUAAUGCUGAGACUCAUCACUACCUAGCAACCUCUGGGUUCAGCAGAACCAGGGAUGCUGAGACAAGAACAGGAUUUGCGUUAGCUCUGUCCCUCUGGACUCGGUGCUUCAGGCUGCACGCAACUCCUGAAGGAAAAAGCCAUCCUGUCACUCUGGCUAUUCUCCCUUGGUCCCUCCUAGGGGACAGCUUGGUCUCAACUGACCCUUCAUUAUGGAGUUCCCAGCAUGUGCUAUACGUAGAGUGAUAAAGUGCCUGACCAAGUAAGUAAUUAAGGCAUUACCAAGGAAUUAACACUGCCACUGAGAACAAGUCUUCACUACAAAUGGCGCCAGAAGGGAGGAGAAGGUGCCUCUAAGCAGAAAGGAAGGCUCAGCAAGGAUGAAAGAGAGAAGCAUAAAUGUAACAGAAAGAUCUCCAGGCAAGCAGAGGGUUUGCUACAACCCAAACACAGGCCAAAGGGCAACAGCAGGAGGCGAGGCUGGAUGGAAGCCCAAGUGCUAAGAGCCUUACUGCCACCACCUAAGGAGCUUGGCCUGGAUUGGCCUGUAAGCAACGGCCAACCACGAUUAAGCAGAAGAGUCAAAUGAUGAAAUCUGUGUCUUCAAAAGACCCACGUUGGAAAGGGUGAAAGGCAGAUAAACAGUAGUGAAGAGGCAAGGUACCUGGAUGAAGACUUGGUAGAAGGGGAGUGGAGAUAAAGAACAGGAAAUGGAUUCAAGAGACAUUAGAGACGACUGACUGGCUCUGACCACUGACAGGACCCAUCUGGCACACUAGCAGCCAAUAAAUGUUUGUUAUACCAAUUAGUGAGCAGGAUAAUGAUCACUUAGAUCACAAAGGACAGAAAACAAAAACCACGAGAAACACAAAAAUUCAAGCCAAGGACAAAAGACAGCUAGAGAAACUGAAAGGGAACAAAGACACCAAAUGAAGCCAUACUCCUCCACCUGGCAGUGACUCCGCAAGAUACCUGGAUGGCUGGCAUUUCCUACAGACCCUUACACGGCCAGCAUCUUAGUGUGCUCUCCCCUGACGGCACUACUUAAAACUUAACAACCCAGGCAUCCCUCCCAGCACCCUCCAAGCCCCUCCCCUGCUUUAUUUGUCUCUGUCCUACUUACCAACAUCUAAGAUACUAUAUACUUUCCUUAUUUAUUGUGUUUAAAGUCUCUACUUAAAUGUAAGCUCCAUCAGGGGAGGAAUUUUGUCUGCUUCACUCACCAUUGUACACUAGAGCCUAAAAAAGUGCCUGGCAUAUAGCACGUGCUCAACAAAUACUUGCUGAUUGACUGACUGAAUAAUGCAGAGAAAUAAAAAGAGUAGGACUGUUAUGUGUAGAUUAAUAAGUAUGAAAAUGAAAUGGUAUCUAACUUGGAAAUUCUAUUAAUUAUAGUGAAGGAUAAAAAUAAAAAUCUAUACAACCGUCCUUUAAAUAAAUGCAAAAGGCUCAAAAACGUUUUCUUAGAAUAUGCAUUUUUAUAUAUAUUCAAAUACAACAAACAUAUAACAAAGUUGUAACAAUUAUAACGAAUAUUUUCUAUUUAGUCACAAAGGAAUGAAGUUUUACUGCUUGAAAAAUCGCUGCAAUACUUGAUAGCGACAUUGCAAACCCACCACUUCAAGUAUUUAAAUUCUAUUAAUACCUUUCCAACUUCCAUUAUAAGUUUCUAACUUUCUUUCUGAAAUUGUGGCUAUUUUAAAAUGUUAAAAAAAACCUAAGAAGUGAAAGUUGAAAUACCAGAAUGUUAGUAAAAUAAUAGUCAUUGGCUUUAAGAUACAGUGAAGAGGCUAUGACAUUAAAACGUAAAGAAUGGUCAAAAAGUUAGAAAUUCAAAAAUAUCCAAGAACACAAAAAAGCCCACCUAGCUGGCUGGCUUCGGGAAAAUGAGCAAAUAUCAUUAAGGCUCACUUUCCUCACCAAUAAAAUGCAGCUAACACUAGCACCUACCUACCUGAUAAGCUUAUUCUGAGAGGGUUUUCUGGAGGAUUAAAUCUGUUUCAGGUCAUCAGCUUGGCACAAUGCCUCUAAUCGUCAUUUCUUUCUUUAACCCAGAAAUAUUUACGAAGAACCUACCAUACAAAAGGCACCACACUUACUGGCUACAGUGGCAAAUGAGACAGACACUCCUGCUUCAGAGAAUCUAUGACAACCACAACAAGUCUGAAGACAGAUGAAUUACCAAGUGUGACAGGUGCUACAGAGGAAGCCUAUAGGGUGGCUUCUGGUCAGAAAUCAGGGAAGUGAGGGAAUUCAGCUUUCGAUGUGGUCAGGAAAAGUGUCUCCGAGGACAGGAAAGCUGAGACGCUCGUUCCCCACGCACAGAGGGCACCGGAUGAGGGUGUGGGUGAGGAGACUGACGUGUGCAAAGGCUGGGGCCUGUCUGAGGAGCUGAGGGGACCCGGUGCACCUGACGCCCAGGAAGCCACUCGCAGAGCCAGGCAAGAGCUGGAUGACGCUGGACUCAGAAGGAAAACCACAGGAAUUUGCGAUUUUAUUCUAUGGGAAUUUAUUCUUCAGUGGAAAGCUGCUGAGGUUUUCUGUUUUUUUCAGAGGGAAAGAUAACCCAAUUUAUGUCUCAUAAAAAUCACUCAGGCUAUUUUUGCAAAAUGUCUUACAGGGGAAUGUGAAUGGAAGCAGAAAAUUAGUGCUAAGACUAAAGCCCCAUCCAGGAGAGAGAGACGGUACCUGCAAUAGGGUGGGAGCAUGGAGAUGAUGAGAACUUGAUGGGUUCCAGACAGAGUUCGAAAUGGCGGGAUUCGGGGGAUGAGGGAAGGGAGAAAUCACAUAUGACUCCUAGAUGUCUGACUUAGGCAAAUGCUCGGCUAAGUAACGCAGUAAAGUAUUUGAUUAAUUUUAGCUAUUCUUAGCUACCCUUAGGACUGAAGAGAAAGAAAAACUGGUGAUCCUACAUCCAAAAUAGUAAAAACAAAAACAAAAAAGAAAGAAACUAAAGUACAAAUAGGAAAGGCGACUGGGUCAAGCGAUGAGGGAAUAGCAGUAGCAGACCACCUUUCCCACUGAAAACAACCAUGAAAGUGAGGUGAAACACCAAACCAACACACUGAGUUAUCUGAAGGCUCAGAGAGAACAACCAGGAGAGCCAGGACAUCAGGAACCUAGAGAAGGGGAUGCAGAGAAAGAGGCCGUUUCCCCUUGGGAUACCUGCCCAUUACAGGGCACCCAGGCCAAGCAGAAAGCAGUAGCCCUGAGCUUGUAUCACUCUCAUUGGGCUGGGAAGACAAAAACUGGAGUUCUGUACUACUAAGGUAGCCAGGAAUUGAGGCUCCCAGCUAAAAAGGAACCACGAAAAACAAGCCCAUCAUUCUGCUCAAUUUUGGCCCUCAGGAAUAUGCUGAAUCAUAAACAACAUGGACUGAAAUGCAGGAAAACUCAUCAAAAAAAUGCUGCAAAGAGGCUAGAAAACUAAGCCGAGCUCUGAUCAGCCUCACAAUACUUAAAAUUCAGGGCUUGCCAAGGAAGAGGCAUCUUGGUAAAUACGCCAGACUUUUAAUAAACGAGCCUUCAGAAGGGCUAUGCACUAGGAGGUUAUUUGAAUUUCCUGAUUACCCUGAAUCCAGGCUUACGUC
This 8722-nucleotide long non-coding RNA is filed under the name Sus scrofa (pig). RNAcentral's name for it is "lncRNA (ENSSSCG00055002458.1)". Lineage: Eukaryota; Metazoa; Chordata; Mammalia; Artiodactyla; Suidae. The record is from RNAcentral.